RNAcentral lists this ribosomal RNA (446 nucleotides) under uncultured bacterium. RNAcentral describes it as "partial 16S ribosomal RNA". It matches the Rfam family "Bacterial small subunit ribosomal RNA", at positions 329 to 792 of the family's 1533-position model. The record is from RNAcentral.
UCCCAGACUCCUACGGGAGGCAGCAGUGGGGAAUAUUGCACAAUGGGGGAAACCCUGAUGCAGCAACGCCGCGUGAGUGAAGAAGUAUUUCGAUAUGUAAAGCUCUAUCAGCAGGGAAGAGGAUGACGGUACCUGAGUAAGAAGCCCCGGCUAACUACGUGCCAGCAGCCGCGGUAAUACGUAGGGGGCAAGCGUUAUCCGGAAUUACUGGGUGUAAAGGGAGCGCAGACGGCAGUGCAAGUCUGGAGUGAAAGCCCGUGGCUUAACUACGGGACUGCUCUGGAAACUGUGCAGCUAGAGUGCAGGAGAGGCAGGCGGAAUUCCUAGUGUAGCGGUGAAAUGCGUAGAUAUUAGGAGGAACACCGGUGGCGAAGGCGGCCUGCUGGACUGUAACUGACGUUGAGGCUCGAAAGCGUGGGGAGCAAACAGGAUUAGAUACCCGGGUA